Molecule: unclassified non-coding RNA, 329 nt
Filed under: soil metagenome
Description: partial contains 5.8S ribosomal RNA, internal transcribed spacer 2, and large subunit ribosomal RNA
Rfam family: 5.8S ribosomal RNA (bases 1-120)
Source: RNAcentral
GAUGAAGAACGCAGCGAAAUGCGAUAAGUAAUGUGAAUUGCAGAAUUCAGUGAAUCAUCGAAUCUUUGAACGCACAUUGCGCCCCCUGGUAUUCCGGGGGGCAUGCCUGUUCGAGCGUCAUUACAACCCUCAAGCUCUGCUUGGUAUUGGGCCCCGCCAGUUCUGGCGGGCCCUAAAGUCGGUGGCGGUGCCUUCCGGCUCCGAGCGUAGUAAUUCUUCUCGCUCUGGAGACCCGGUUGUGUGCUUGCCAACAACCCCCAAUUUUUUAAGGUUGACCUCGGAUCAGGUAGGGAUACCCGCUGAACUUAAGCAUAUCAAUAAGCGGAGGA